Molecule: long non-coding RNA, 1040 nt
Filed under: Medicago truncatula (barrel medic)
Lineage: Eukaryota; Viridiplantae; Streptophyta; Magnoliopsida; Fabales; Fabaceae
Description: long non-coding RNA (MTRU_LNC002657)
Source: RNAcentral
AUGCUUCCUUUUUUUUGUGUGUGUGGUUUUCUUCUACCAAAGCUAGCAGUUUAUUCUUAGAAGUUCAUCUGAGUUACAAUUAUGUUUCCUUAAAUUGCUUCUUGUGUCACUUUGACUAUCUUGUCUUUCCUAUCACAGUAAUUUUAUUUUGUUGAUUAAAUGAUUUUAAUUAGAGGUGUUCACGAAUUGACCCAAUCUGAUAUAAAUCACUAAAUGUGACCUGACAAAUCGAAAACAAAAAACGUGUUUAUUUGAUUUGAUUUUUUGGGUUACAUUUUGAAGUCUGAUUUGGUCCAAAUCAAACUGAACUUUUUAAACUCAAUACAGAAUUUGUUUUAAAUUAGAUUAUUGUGAUUUAAAACACUAAGCAACAAUAAACUGAUUUUAUUUAUAUUUUAAAUCCAAAUCACAACACCCUGAUAUACUGUGCAUUUCAAUGUUUUAUUUAUCAUCUGUUGUAAAGCAAAUAAAGUUAAAUAAAAAAAGUUGAUUCAGACAAAUCACUUUAUAUUACCUAUUGAUUGGAUCGUAAAUAAGGAAACUGAUUGAUGAAUUUUUUUCUCUCUCUCAAAGGAAGACAUAAUUCAACCCUCCAAUACCUCUGUUAGAUAUAGUUUGGAUAUUUGUCAGGGAAAGUUGGUUACAAUGGUUAGUUAGUUUAGUUUGGAUCACUAUGCUUAUAUUUUUUUUUUGUAUGUUUGUGUUAUUGACUUAUAGGAACACUUACAUAAUAACACACUCUAUAACGGGACUUUCAGGUACACCGGAGAAGAUGGAUUUGAGAUCUCAGUUCCUUCAGAGCAUGGAGUAGAUCUUGCCAAGGCAAUACUUGAAAAAUCUGAAGGGAAAAUAAGACUGACAGGACUUGGUGCUAGAGAUAGUUUACGCCUUGAAGCUGGAUUGUGCCUCUAUGGCAAUGACAUGGAACAGCACAUUACACCAAUUGAGGCAGGACUGACAUGGGCUAUAGGUAAGAGGAGAAGAGCAGAAGGUGGUUUUCUAGGAGCUGAUGUUAUCUUGAAACAGCUCGCAGAUGGUCC